Sus scrofa (pig) is the source of this 2608-nucleotide non-coding RNA. Lineage: Eukaryota; Metazoa; Chordata; Mammalia; Artiodactyla; Suidae. The record is from RefSeq and is a predicted model, not a curated record.
GGUGCAUGUAUCUUUUUCAAUGAAUGCUUUGUCUGUAUAUAUGCCAGUGGGAUUGCUGGGUCAUAUUGUAGUUCUACAUUUAGUUUUCUGAGGUACCUCCAUACUAUUUUCCACAGCUUUUUUAGAGUUCACAUUCCUCGUGGCAGUCUUCCUCUGUCUUCAAAUCCAGCAAAGUCUUAUAUUUCUGACAUGUCUUCUGUCGUCAUUUCUCUUUCUCUGACUACAGCUGAGAAAGAUUCUUCACUUUUAAGUAUCCAUUUAAUUAUAUUAGCCCCACCCAUAUAAUGCAACAUAAUGUUUCCAUCUCAAAGGCCUUAACCUCAAUACAUCUUCAAAGUCCUUUUUGCCACGUCAGAUAACAUAUUCACAGAUGGCUGGGAUUAGGACACAGACAACUUGGGGUGGGGGAGGGACAGUAUUCUGUCUACUUCACAGGAUUGCUAGCAAUACAGAAAUUUCUAUGCAUGAAACACAAGUUGUGUUUACAGAGAGACAGAAUACAAUUGUGGACCGGGCACUGGGUGGAAUUUUUAAGGCCUGGGCUCAAUUUCCAAUACAUACUUCAGAAAAUGCAUUGGAGGCAGAGGAAACAAUGUGAUCCAAGAGAUAUGAAAACACAGUGUAUUUAAGAAACACUCAAUUAUCAACUGGAGUACAGCACUACCAGAGUCUUUGGGGAAAAAUGGAGAGACCGAAUGUCAGCUAGGAACUGGACCAUCAUCAGAAAGCAAUUGAAAGUCGUUGAGAGUGAGCAACAGCAGCCAUAUCUGCACCUUCUAAUGAGUCAUCUGGAAGCAAGAUGUAGAGAGAGCUAGAAGGGAGAUAUUUCAGGUAGACAGACACUCUAAAGACUAUUGCCUUCUUCUGGGAAAGACAUUUGGACACGGGAUGAUGGCGGUGAAAAUGCCACGAAUGCAGUGGCUGGUGAAGUAAGAGAGCUAAAUGGUCCUUUCAGUUAGGUUUGAUGGAGCUGAAUUUGAUGCAGCUGAACACUGAGCAUCAUGGUGAUGACAAUCUCUGGGGCAUUAAUCUUGACAAAAUAAAUCUAAAUAUAAUUUUUAAUGUAAUAUUUUUAGGAAAAAAUCUAGAAAUUUUUUUGAGCUUCAUGUUCAUUAGCUCCUAGAUAAUUUAUGUUUGGGGGUCCUGUGCUAAUUGACUGGAGAAAUGAAUUCCAACUAUGUACAGGGAAGAAAUGGAGCCUCAGGGAGAGCUUUAUAGCUGGAUGGUGUAUCAGCAUCAAGAUUUUCCUGGAAGAAGUAUCAGGAGAGAUUCUGGAGUAAGAGAAUGAUAUAGAGUGGGGGGGGGGAUAAAUAUCAUAGGAGAAAGAGAAGAUGAAGUGUGGGUAGACUAUUUCAGCAAAUACAAUUCCCAAUUUCUAAAAUUUAGGAAAAAUUCACUAAAUUUGAAGAUGGCUGUUAAAAGCAAUCAGCGUGCAGAGCAACAACACCCAGAUUAAAGAUGCCCAUGCUGGAAAAGGUUACAUGGAUUUGAUUUCAUCUGCAAAAAAUUAGCUUAGCAAAGAUGGAGGCUACUGUGGCACCCUUCCGACUGAGAAGAUAGAAUAGGAGUCUAUCCUGAGACUUCAGCUCCCUGAAAUCUUUUUUUUCUGACAUCCUGUUACUUUGCCGCAUUGCUAUUUCAGAGUUAACUUAUCCAGAGAAAAACUGGCCUGACUCGUGUGUGAGCCUUGGCAAGUUUGUAGUCUGUUGGUGGUAUGGCUGUAGGCCCACUUCCCAUCUAGUGAAUAUAGUCAAUGACUGUAUGUUUUUGGUAUGCAGGCCUGUUUAUGUGUAUCAGAGAAAGAACUUAGACAUAAAGGAAAAAGCCUCUAAGGUAUUUGAGCCUUGCAACUACUGUUAAGUGUGAGGUGGGCUACCUUCUUCUGACCGCACAGGUUUCUCUCAUUUUGUUAAUAAAAGCCAGACUCCAUGGUUAUAGUUACUGGCAGGGCAAUGAUGAGUAAGAGGUGGGGAGAGCAGAUGUACAGAACUGCCAUGGCAAAUUGUGAUACUUAUCCUCUGGUACUAGUUUUAGAUGUUUGCUGUUAAAAAACAAUGAAAAAAGGCUGAGAUCUUUUCUGAUUUGUUAAUUCUUUGUGGCUCAGGUGAACCGUCUUCCUUAGAGAGCAGUUAACACUACCAGUCCACCUUACUGGAAUUAAAUCAGAAGUUCAGAUACAGACAGAAUCUUCAAAAAAAAUUAAACACCUUUAAAAACUGAAAAUUUUAGUCCAAUAUCCAGAUGUUUGAGCAUAUGGUGCCAAACAUCUGCAUAUUCAUUCUACUUUGAUUUGGCAAGCUUUUAUUGAAAGGUCUGGAAGAUCAUGUAUCAGUGAACUAACUCAUUGAGAAUAUCAGACCUGGAAAGAGGCCUAGAGAUCAUCUGUUUGCUCCAUUUCGGAGCUGAGAGUGGAGUGAAGAUAGCACUGUCCAGUGGUGGAAAGAAAGAUAAAGUUGGGAGAGAGUGAUUAGGGCUACAAGAGCUCUAAACCACAACAAAGUACUGGAAAGAAGAGUCUGUGAAGCCAAGGAUAGAACCCAAGCUGCAGCUGCAACCUGCUACAACAACACCAGAUUGUUAACCUGCUCUGCCUCAAGGGAACUUCCAG